RNAcentral lists this long non-coding RNA (1130 nucleotides) under Homo sapiens (human). RNAcentral's name for it is "non-protein coding lnc-NT5DC1-4:4". The record is from RNAcentral. Lineage: Eukaryota; Metazoa; Chordata; Mammalia; Primates; Hominidae.
AUGGCAACCCUUCCAGUUCCCCUUCCACUGUGUGGAAGCUUUACUUUCACUUUUGCUUUACUUUGGCUUUAAUAAAUCUUGACCCAGCACUCUCUUUAGGUCUGCAUGCUUCUCAAAUUGAGCUGUAACACUCACUGCUGCGGUCCAAGCCUUCAUUCUUUGAAGCCCGUGGAACCACAAACUCUUCAAUUGAUAAAAACCUUCGAUCGGAAGAGACUUCUCAUCUCAUUUCUGGGGGCCUGUCCGGGAUUUCUCUGAAGUGAAUAGAAUCCAUGAAACUGCAAGUGGUUCUACAAAUGGAGCCCCAAAUGACCACCACUAGCACCUACUAUCGAGGACCCCUAGACUGACCUACCAACCUGUUCUAACACCACGACACUGAAGAAGACUCCCCUCCUGAGGAACCCUCAACUGCAGAUCCCCUUCUGUGCCCCAGUUCAGCAGGAAGUAGCUAGAAUGAUCAUUGCCCAACUUCUCAACAGCACUUGGGCUUUCCUGUUGAGAGGGGGUACUGAGGCACUAAGUGGCUAAGUUAGCUAGACUUCCUGGGUCAACAGGGACUUCCCUAAGGGGACAUUCCUCUAAGCCAAAAUGAGUCAUAGCUGCAAGCUAAGGGAUUGAAACUUCAACCAAUCAAAGGGGACUUUCUCCUAAGCAAAAAUGAGUCACUGCUGCAAACUAAGUGAUUGAAACUUCACCCAAUCAUAUAGGGAGUUUAAGCUUUAGCUGCAGCCUGAUGUUUUUAACCAAUCAGGCCUGCCAACCCACAAGCAGAUAGAAAAUAAGCUAAUCCUAUGGGACAGAAAAAGGAAAAGGGGAGGAGUCAUAAGAGGAUAUAAGCAUAAGACACCCAAGCCAGAAACGGAAACCCUUCCGGGUCUCCUUCCACCACGUGGAAGCUUUACUUUUGCUUUUACUUUACUUUCACUUUAAUAAACCUUGGCGCUGCACACUCUUUGGGUCUGUACGUUUCUCUAAUUGAGCUGUAACACUCGCCGCUGUGGUCCACGGCUUCAUUCCUUGAAGCCUGUGAGACCACGAACCCUUCAAUUGAGAAAAACCUUCAAUCAGAAGAAGACUUCUUGUCUCAAUAUCACUUCCUUCGAAAACAUAAUUCAAGAGUUAUUCAC